Molecule: small RNA, 135 nt
Filed under: unclassified sequences
Description: LOOT RNA
Rfam family: LOOT RNA
About the family: Latescibacteria, OD1/Parcubacteria, OP11, TM7.
Source: Rfam by way of RNAcentral
GGCCCAAACUUAGUAGCCCCAAGUGGGUAAAAGGCAUGGUUAUUCAAAACCGUUCAAAGCAUACGACGCUCGUCGUUAGGUUUUGCUUUGAACGGUCGCACGCAGGAAUGUGUGUGGGGUUCCGGAAACGGGAUC